CCCUUAGAUGUUCUGGGCCGCACGCGCGCUACACUGAAGGGAUCAGCGUGUUUUCCCUUUCCGAGAGAAACGGGUAACCCGCUGAACCCCCUUCGUGGUAGGGAUCGGAGCUUGCAAUUGUUCUCCGUGAACCAGGAAUUCCCAGUAAGCGCAAGUCAUAAGCUUGCGUUGAUUACGUCCCUGCCCUUUGUACACACCGCCCGUCGCUACUACCGAUUGAACGUUUUAGUGAGGUAUUUGGACUGGGCCUUGGGAGGUUUCGGCCUCCCUUGUUGCUCGGAAAGACUCCCAAACUUGAGCGUUUAGAGGAAGUAAAAGUCGUAACA
RNAcentral lists this ribosomal RNA (326 nucleotides) under uncultured eukaryote. RNAcentral describes it as "partial 18S ribosomal RNA". It matches the Rfam family "Eukaryotic small subunit ribosomal RNA", at positions 1470 to 1796 of the family's 1831-position model. The record is from RNAcentral.